AAUAAACCAAAUAAUAAAAAAUGAUUUUUUUUCUUGUUUGAAGUCAUUAAAAGGAAAGGUGUAAAGUAAUUUUUAGAGGUGUCAAAACUCAAGUCAAUUCAUAUGGAAUAUACAAUUUUAGGUCUUAUUAAACCGAUAAACUAUUAUGGCUCUAUUUAAAAAACAAAAAAAAAAAAAAACUUAAUCCAAAAGCUUACAAAGAAAAUGUAUUUUUAAAAUUUAAACUACCUGAAUAAAAUUAAUUUAAAUGUUUAUAUGUAAUGAUUUGAUAGAUACCCAUUUGAACUUUUUAUAAAAUAUAAUUAUUAUUUUUAAAAUAGACAUGCUCAAAAUGCCAUAACCAAAA
RNAcentral lists this long non-coding RNA (346 nucleotides) under Vigna radiata. Its description in RNAcentral is "long non-coding RNA (VRAD_LNC005327)". The record is from RNAcentral. Lineage: Eukaryota; Viridiplantae; Streptophyta; Magnoliopsida; Fabales; Fabaceae.